CGGGGGACACCGGAGGUGGAGGAAGGGGCCGCGUACCGCGUGGUGCGUGGAGCCGAGGAAAGCACGGACUUCCAGCACCCGGGAAGUGAGCACGGAAAAUCAGUUCACGGCUGCCGCGUUCCUUCCGGCGGACAGCCAAUGACCGCGAGGAAAGGAGUCAGGGAAAGUGGCGUGGUGUGGCCGUGGCGGGCGCGGGCGCGGGCGGCCUGGGGGUUGGGUUGGGCACCCCACCCCCCCCCGCCGCGGGCUGUCUGGCCUGUAGGGGUUAAUUAGGAGCCCAGCCGCAGGUUUGCUGCCCCCAGUAUGGACGCUUGGGUUCGCGGACCAGCAGGAAUUUAAGACGGGAAAUGGGGACGGCUAGGUUCACCAGGUUUGGGCCUAGCAACUGGCAGCCCCCACUGCUGGAGGCGGAGGCCGGUGUCCCCUCUCACUCUGUACCGUUUGGUUUACCCACAGGGCAACAAGUCUCACACAGCAAUUCUGUCGUCUUGCUUGCUAACCCUGGGCCCCCAGGGGCAGAAAGGAGUUCUAGGCUGCUGCUCAGCACCACUGGUAGGAUUUGCAGUCCUCAUCCAUGUAUGAAGACAGAGGAGCAGAGGAGGGACCACCAGACUGUCAUCUGAAAGUGUUCCCCAGCACAGCAAAGAUAGUCUGUUUGCAUUCACCCUAGAGUACCGUAGCAGCUAAAGACAGACACAACAUGUAUCUGGAAUAAAAGGUGUUUCACAGUGCCUUUCAACUUUAACACUGCGGUGAUAUUUUCUGGGGAGCAUUACGCCUACUUGGUAAAUGGAGCCGAACAGGAUUCAGUGGUUUCCCUUAAGGCCACCAGAUGGGACAGUUCUUAGACACAUUGGAC
RNAcentral lists this long non-coding RNA (859 nucleotides) under Lynx pardinus (Iberian lynx). Lineage: Eukaryota; Metazoa; Chordata; Mammalia; Carnivora; Felidae. The record is from RNAcentral.